RNAcentral lists this ribosomal RNA (287 nucleotides) under uncultured bacterium. RNAcentral's name for it is "partial 16S ribosomal RNA". It matches the Rfam family "Bacterial small subunit ribosomal RNA", at positions 123 to 406 of the family's 1533-position model. The record is from RNAcentral.
AACCUCCCCAGAACAGGUGAAUAGCCUUGCGAAAGUAAGAUUAAUACACCGUACCAUACGGAUGUGGCAUCACAACCGUAUUAUAGGUAGCAAUACCGGUUCUGGAUGGGCGUGCGCCUGAUUAGGUAGUUGGCGGGGUAACGGCCCACCAAGCCUUCGAUCAGUAACUGGUGUGAGAGCACGACCAGUCACACGGGCACUGAGACACGGGCCCGACUCCUACGGGAGGCAGCAGUAAGGAAUAUUGGUCAAUGGACGCAAGUCUGAACCAGCCAUGCCGCGUGAAG